This 301-nucleotide ribosomal RNA is filed under the name uncultured bacterium. RNAcentral's name for it is "partial 16S ribosomal RNA". It matches the Rfam family "Bacterial small subunit ribosomal RNA", at positions 509 to 807 of the family's 1533-position model. The record is from RNAcentral.
CAGUCGCCGCGGGAACACGUAGGGUGCGAGCGUUAAUCGGAGUUACUGGGCGUAAAGCGUGCGCAGGCGGUUCGUUAAGACAGAUGUGAAAUCCCCGGGCUUAACCUGGGAACUGCAUUUGUGACUGGCGAGCUAGAGUAUGGCAGAGGGGGGUAGAAUUCCACGUGUAGCAGUGAAAUGCGUAGAGAUGUGGAGGAAUACCGAUGGCGAAGGCAGCCCCCUGGGCCAAUACUGACGCUCAUGCACGAAAGCGUGGGGAGCAAACAGGAUUAGAUACCCCUGUAGUCCCUGUCUCUUAUAC